This 943-nucleotide ribosomal RNA is filed under the name uncultured organism. RNAcentral's name for it is "bacterial SSU rRNA". It matches the Rfam family "Bacterial small subunit ribosomal RNA", at positions 48 to 969 of the family's 1533-position model. The record is from RNAcentral.
UUGACACAUGCAAGUCGAGCGGGAACGUCCCUUCGGGGAACCAGUACAGCGGCAGACGGGUGAGUAACGCGUGAUCAAUCUGCCCUUGGGAGAGGAAUAGCCAUUCGAAAGAGUGAGUAAUACCUCAUAAGACUACAGCAUCGCAUGGUGCAGUGGUAAAAAGGUUGGGAUCUUCGGACCUUCCGCCCAGGGAUGAGAUCGCGUCCUAUUAGCUUGUUGGUGAGGUAACGGCUCACCAAGGCAGCGAUGGGUAGCCGGCCUUAGCGGGUGGACGGCCACACUGGAACUGAGACACGGUCCAGACUCCUACGGGAGGCUGCAGUGCUGAAUUAUUCGCCAAUGCGCGAAAGCGUGACGGUGCGACGCCGCGUGCGGGACGAAGGCCUUAGGGUCGUAAACCGCUGUCAGGGCUUCGGAAACCGUAGAGGUUAAUAGCCUCUGCGCUGACCAGGCCCAAAGGAAGCACAGGCUAAUCUCGUGCCAGCAGCCGCGGUAAUACGAGAUGUGCGAGCGUUGUUCGGAAUUACUGGGCAUAAAGGGUGCGCAGGCGGCCAUGUAAGUCAGGUGUGAAAUCCCUCGGCUCAACCGGGGAAUUGCAUCUGAUACUGCAUGGCUUGAGAACGAAAGGGGCAAGCGGAAUUCCAGGUGUAGCGGUGGAAUGCGUAGAUAUCUGGGAGAACGCCAAUGGCGAAGGCAGCUUGCUGGGUCGUUUCUGACGCUCAUGCACGAAAGCUAGGGGAGCAAACAGGAUUAGAUACCCUGGUAGUCCUAGCUGUAAACGAUGGGUACUAGGUUCCGGGAUUCCUGAUGAUUUCGGAGCCGCAGUUAAUGCGUUAAGUACCCCGCCUGGGGAGUAUGGUCGCAAGGCUAAAACUCAAAGGAAUUGACGGGGGCUCACACAAGCGGUGGAGCAUGUUGUUCAAUUCGAAGCAACGCGAAGAAC